ACAGGAUACGAACCUGCACCUGAGAACUCAAAAUCCUCCGUACUACCACUAUACUACCUCCUAGUAAAGUCAGC
This 74-nucleotide transfer RNA is filed under the name Trachylepis dumasi. Its description in RNAcentral is "tRNA-Gln". Lineage: Eukaryota; Metazoa; Chordata; Lepidosauria; Squamata; Scincidae. The record is from RNAcentral.